UACAGAGGUGGCAAGCGUUGUUCGGAAUUACUGGGCGUAAAGGGCGCGUAGGCGGUUCGUUAAGUCCUGUGUGAAAUCCCCCGGCUCAACUGGGGAACUGCACAGGAAACUAGCGGGCUUGAGUUCGGGAGAGGGAAGCGGAAUUCCGGGUGUAGCGGUGAAAUGCGUAGAUAUCUGGAGGAACACCGGUGGCGAAGGCGGCAUCCUGGACCGAUACUGACGCUGAGGAGCGAAAGCCAGGGGAGCAAACGGG
RNAcentral lists this ribosomal RNA (253 nucleotides) under uncultured bacterium. Its description in RNAcentral is "partial 16S ribosomal RNA". It matches the Rfam family "Bacterial small subunit ribosomal RNA", at positions 524 to 776 of the family's 1533-position model. The record is from RNAcentral.